This is an RNA transcript of Micropterus salmoides (largemouth bass), 4735 nucleotides long. It is a transcript of the gene named E3 ubiquitin-protein ligase RNF126-like, with no coding region annotated. The record is from RefSeq and is a predicted model, not a curated record. The transcript is spliced from 20 exons. Lineage: Eukaryota; Metazoa; Chordata; Actinopteri; Centrarchiformes; Centrarchidae.
UUAUAUUUAAUAGGCCUAUCUUAAUAUUAAUUGCCAUUAAUUUACCUCUUGCCAUUAGUUAUGGAUAUGUUAUGGGUUUUUUCCCGGCGACAUUGACUAUCUGGGCUUCUGGCUUUGCAUUUCCGAGUCUCUCAUUUUCUGUCACCUUUUCAGGCUGAGGAUGUUCAGACAAAAUACUCCCAUCAGAGGACCGAGGAGAACGGAGCAAACAAGACUUGCAACUUUCAGAGUCGGUCUCCUCCUCCAUCCUGAUAUGGAAACAUUCCACCCACAAAAAGUUCCCUUUUCCUCACGCUUGCGCACACACCUGCUGCAAACACAGCGGCGUGCCCCGCCUCUCUCCGCCUCUCUCCGCCUCUCUCUCCCUGGAUGCGUCUGCUCCGGUAACUUUUUCCACGUUUUAUAAAGUCGCUAAAAAGACGGAGCUCGUCUGCUGGAAUUUUCCACCCACAAUUUCCUUCAUAGCAUCAGACGUAAAAUCCAAAAUGGGUCUGCCUGUAAUUUACACUACUGACGGAAGCUUAGAAGAAAAGUUAAGGUGCCAGUGUCCUUGUCUGCUGAGGAGUUCAACGCUGUCCUCAGAAAUGCGUUUCCAAGAGUGGGCGACACUGAUUUUGAGUUGGCAAGAGUAGAUUGUCAUAAAGAAACCACAAGACUUCAAGUUUGUCCACUAUCACCAUCUGUGCUGAAAGCCAGCAGAGAGCUGAAUCGAUCAGCUUUAUAUAUAUACUCCCAAAGGAUGCAGAAGAGGUCUCGAACUCUGGCCAAAACCUGGACCAAGAUGAUAUGGGCACCCAUUUUAAGCUCUUUCUAGGCUUGUUGUAUAUUUCAUAAUGGCAUAUUGCAUCUUUGGCCAACAAAUGGGGCGUUCUGGUAUUUUGAAGGAUGUACAGGAGGUCCAUACUUCACAAAACUGCCUGGAGAGACCUAAUACAAUGGCGAGGGAUGAUUUACAUGAGUGGCGUGCACUUCACAAGACAAGAUGAGGAAUACAUACAAAGUCUGCAAACUGAGCAGGAAAGGGACACUCUGGUUCCUGAAGAGACCACUCCUCAAAACAUCUCAUCUGGGUCCUCUGAUACCACUGCUGGCUUCCUGGAUUUGAGUCAUGUCAAAGAAACUACCGAACCAGAUCUGAAAACCUUACUGACAACUCUGGCAUCAAAAGUCUGGAUUGGAGAGACGCCCAGCAGUAAUAUGAUCAAUGUAUGCAGAGAAAACAUAAUGGAUGGUGCCAUGCGAGCCUUUACAAGAAGGAGUUUCAAUCCAGAGGCCAAAUUAAGCGUCAUAUUUAUGGAUGACUUCAUGCAAGCAGAAGGUUCAGUGGAUGAGGGGGGCCCUACACGGGGGUUUUUCCGACUGCUCUCAGAGAUAGCAGCCUAUUUACAGGGCCACAGUAAGAACCUGUCCCUGGACAGCCACGCAUUACACAGAGGUCUCUACAGAACCUAUGGAGUUAUGAUGGCUGUGGCGCUGCUGCAUGGAGGAGUGUUGCCUUCUCUUUCCGGAGAGGCUCUACCAAAACCUCUGCUCUACACCCACAUUACCACCCGCUCUCAAAGAGGUAGCAGAUCCAGAUUUGCAGUGGAAACUCAGAAAGAUCAGUGAGGCCGGUGAUAUAACAGAGGCUAGAGCUGCCAUUGAGGAAGCUGCAGAGAGCCUGUCCUUGUUGGGGUCCCUGAGGCGUCUCACCACCGUGGAGGGACGGGACCGGCUGGUUCAGGCUGCCACAAGUUUCUACGUGGAAGGACAAAAGAAGCCUCCCAACAAGCUACAGUGCUUGGACCAGAUUUGACUUAUGUUUUGAGGAAAAUGCUUGGACUUUCUGAAGGACUGAACACACUUGGUCUCCUGGACCUGAUGAAAAUUCACGCCAGCAUCUUGAAGGAGGUGUUUUCUUCAUCUGAGAGGCCUCUAAAGGCCACAGACUUGAUCUCCCUGUUCCAAGUGACACUGUCCCCUCCUGGAAGCAACCGGUGGCGCCUGGAGAAGAGAGUGGAAGGGUACUGGAGAGACUUUCUUCUAGAUGUGGAGGAUGGUGUGUUUGAGGUCACAAUGGAGCAAAUUUUGGUGUUUGCCUCUGGAGCCGACAGAGUACCCGCUCUUGGUUUUUCUCCUCACCCAACGCUGAACUUCAUUCACGACGCAGGGCGGAAGUACCCUGAAGCUAACACCUGUCUUACUAGAGACCCUUGAGAGGAGCAUCAGAUGGGCAAGAGGGAGGAUUCUCCAGUUGGACGAUGCAGAUGAACUUCUUCCAUUAGUGACUCAAGAAGCAUUAGAGACCUCCGGGUAUCAAGCCCCAUUGGUCCGGACAGGUGAUUUUGGACGAUCCAGCUACCUAAUCACUGAAGAACACCUGAGAUUCCUGCUUUCAUGUGGAUUUGUAGCUACGCAAAUUGCUGAAAUCCUGGAUGUAUCAGUCAGUACAGUUAAACGAAGAUUGAGGCGCUUCAACUUGCCCUACCUGAUGAGGUCUGCACGUCUUUCUAAUGCAGAACUUGAUGAAGUCAAGUCAAGCUGCAGUCGGUUGGAGAAAAUGAAGAGAUGGGAGCAAAUGCUGUUUUGGCCAGACUGGCUGCUAUGGCUGUUUGAGUGCAGAGGAGAAGAGUGAGAGAGAGUUUGAUUGGAGUGAAUCCAGAGCGUUGUCUCACCGACUGCACCGGAGAACCUACAGUGCUGCAGGACCCAACUCGCUGUGGCACAUAGAUGGGAACCACAAACUCAUCAGAUGGAGAAUAGUGAUCCAUGGCGGAAUCUGUGGCUUCAGCAGGCCGGUUGUGUUUUUGCAGGCUUCAGAUAAUAACAGAAGUUGCACAGUGUUUGACCAGUUUGUUCAAGCCACUGCUAGGUAUGGAGUCUCGAAUAAGGUGUGACCAUGGGGGAGAAAACAAUGCUGUCUGCUUGUUCAUGAACAUUUACCGUGGAUUAGAAAGAGGAAGUGCCAUCCGGGGCAGAAGUGUCCAUAACCAGCGGAUGGAGAGGCUUUGGGGAGAUCUCUGGAGAGGAUUAUACAACAGUUUCUUGCCAGUCUCUUUGCCAACUCUGGAUUCCCUAGCUUACCUCCCCUCUCAAGGACGGUAUCCUGCACUCUAAUCCAGGGGAUAAUGAAUCCCUGAGGAAUGAGAGGGUUAGAUGCCGUGAUAAAACUUUAUGUCCCUGCCACCUUUUCAUUUCUUUGCAGCUCACAGAUGUGUUUUUGUCAGUGUAGUUACUGGGUCAGUUGCAGAACACAGGCCCUCCUCCAGCUGAUAGAGAAGAUCUCUCCUCUCCCAUCUGUCAGUAUGAAAUGUGAAUGGCUGCAAGACAAAAUGGAUAAACUGACAGCACGUGUGUCUGAUUGCAGGUUUAGAGACAAAAACUGCUGUGUGCAGUGUCCAGUGCACAGAGAGAACUUCGCAGUGGGAGAGCCAUUCAGACAGCUGCCCUGUAACCACUUCUUUCAUUCAGAAUGGAUAGUACCAUGGCUGGAACUGAGGAGGUGUGCAGUGGCUUUGGACCAGCAACGGACCCCUCGGCAACCGGUCCGGACCACAAGGACCGCGUGGACCACUAGUUCAUAUUUCUACAGACGAGACAGGAGGAUGCUGGGAGAAAAGAGAGGCGGGAAGCUGAACUACCUGGUGAGGUCUGAAAAUGAAUCUGUGUCUGAUAGAUGAUUCCAGCCGUCGUCGUACUUGAAACAAGUUAGCAUAGCAUCGCCCUGACUGAGCAGAACUCCAUUUAGAAAACAAGCGUUUUAAAAGAUGUUUGCUUGUCAUCUUGAAGACAGACCUGACAGAGCAGGAAUUCAUAUGUUCAACAAAUCAGCAUCAUUUUGAUCAGUUUAUUGAAAUGAAAUCACAGCAAAAUGUUUAUUUUGGCUUCAAACCGCUGCAGGAAACCAGAUUAUUGAAUUAGAUCUGAGUGCAUAAACAGCACUUUAAUAACAUAACAUCUUUGAGUCCAACAGAUUACUGUAAGCUUCUGAUUUCCUCUGGUAACAGUUCAUGACCUGUGUACUGGAACAUAAUGACUGCUAGUAUAUUGUGCUGGAGUCUACUGGUCCCUGGGUUGGUUUUACUAUGUUGUCUGUUUUGUGUUGACUUGUACUGACUACAGAUGAAAAACAGCCUUCUGGCUAAAUCUGGCAUAUUUACUGAAAUGUUUCAGCUUCAAUGAAAAAUCCAGCUUUAUCUUUGAGGAAUGAACAGAGAGACGAGAAAAACCAGAACCUGGAGGAAAGAGACUAAAGAAGUGGAGUUUCUGCUGAGUUCUGAGAUCAACGUCUGAAGGACUCGGUACGCUUCAAACAAACUAGAUCACGUGACGUCUGUUUAUACCUGCUCCAAAUGUCAACGCUGGAAGACAAAGAUCACAGAGUCCAGAUGUUUCAGAGGCCUGAACCAGGUCCACUGGAGGCCUCUGGGUUUAACUGCUGUGCUUUGAUCCAGUGUGUAGUGAGGAGGAAGAGGCGCUGAAUAAACAGGGACUACAAAAACACUACAGACCACAUUUGUGUUCAGGCUGAACAAACCUUUGUUCUUGUGAAAGUCUGACUGAAUCAAAUCUUAUUGUGUCUUCAUUCUCUGAGUCCAUUUUAACAGCUGGCUGCUUUCUGUUCUGUCACUAAAUGUGUUGCUUUCUGUUUAACUUGCAUCCUGCCAGGGUUGGUGCUGGAAUAAUCUGAGCUGGACACUUGAGACUUGGACUCGAGUCCUUUUCAAUGUUCUCAUUAAAGGAGUCGACACAAAGA